UACAGAGGUCCCAAGCGUUGUUCGGAUUCACUGGGCGUAAAGGGUGCGUAGGUGGUGAGGUAAGUCGGAUGUGAAAGCUCGGAGCUCAACUCCGAAAUGGCAUUGGAAACUACCUUGCUCGAGGGUUGGAGGGGGGACUGGAAUACUUGGUGUAGCAGUGAAAUGCGUAGAGAUCAUGAGGAAGACCAGUGGCGAAGGCGGGUCUCUGGACAGUUCCUGACACUGAGACACGAAGGCCAGGGGAGCAAACGGG
This 253-nucleotide ribosomal RNA is filed under the name uncultured bacterium. RNAcentral describes it as "partial 16S ribosomal RNA". It matches the Rfam family "Bacterial small subunit ribosomal RNA", at positions 524 to 776 of the family's 1533-position model. The record is from RNAcentral.